GACGAACGCUGGCGGCGUGCUUAACACAUGCAAGUCGAACGGAAAGGCCCUGCUUUUGUGGGUUGCUCGAGUGGCGAACGGGGGAGUAACACGCGAGUAACCUCCCCUUGACUUUGUGAUAACUUCAGGAGACUGCGGCUAAUACCGCAUAGGAUCUCCUGCUGCAUGUGGUGGGUUGGAAAGUUUCGGCCGUUGGGGAUGUUCUCGCGGCUUAUCAGCUUGUUGGUCGAGUAGUGGCUUACCAAGGCUUCGACGGCUAGCCGGCCUGAGAGGGGUACCGGCCACAUUGGGACUGAGAUACGGCCCAGACUCCUACGGGCGGCAGCAGUGGGGAAUAUUGCACAAUGGGCGGAAGCCUGAUGCAGCAACGCCGCGUGCGGGAUGACGGCCUUCGGGUGGUAAACCGCUUUCGCAUGUGACGAAGAGUGAGUGACGGUAAUGGGUAAAGAAGCACCGGCUAACUACGUG
Molecule: ribosomal RNA, 468 nt
Filed under: uncultured bacterium
Lineage: Bacteria
Description: partial 16S ribosomal RNA
Rfam family: Bacterial small subunit ribosomal RNA
Source: RNAcentral